Molecule: transfer RNA, 85 nt
Filed under: Spirochaetaceae bacterium
Lineage: Bacteria; Pseudomonadati; Spirochaetota; Spirochaetia; Spirochaetales; Spirochaetaceae
Description: tRNA-Ser
Rfam family: tRNA
About the family: Transfer RNA (tRNA) molecules are approximately 80 nucleotides in length. Their secondary structure includes four short double-helical elements and three loops (D, anti-codon, and T loops).
Source: RNAcentral
GGAGCGGUGGCCGAGUGGUUUAAGGCGGCGGUCUUGAAAACCGUUGAGCGGCGACGUUCCGGGGGUUCGAAUCCCCCCUGCUCCG